UGCCUGCAGCUCGAGUGGUAACCGCUUUUAUUGGGCCUAAAGCGUCCGUAGCCGGUUUGGUAAAUAUCUGGGUAAAUCGUGAGGCUUAACUUCACGAAUUUCGGAUAGACUGCCAGACUUGGGAUCGGGGGAGGUCAGAGGUACUCCAGGGGUAGCGGUGAAAUGUUGUAAUCCUUGGAGGACCACCGGUAGCGAAGGCGUCUGACUAGAACGAGUCCGACGGUGAGGGACGAAGCCCUGGGGCGCAAACCGGAUUAGAUACCCGGGUAGUCCAGGGUGUAAACGAUGUGGGCUUUGUAUUGGAGGUCCCACGUGGGCGUCCAGUGCAGAAGAGAAGUUGUUAAGCCCGCCGCCUGGGAAGUACGGUCGCAAGGCUGAAACUUAAAGGAAUUGGCGGGGGAGGCACAGCAACGGGAGGAGCGUGCGGUUU
Molecule: ribosomal RNA, 430 nt
Filed under: uncultured archaeon
Lineage: Archaea
Description: bacterial SSU rRNA
Rfam family: Archaeal small subunit ribosomal RNA
Source: RNAcentral